This 367-nucleotide ribosomal RNA is filed under the name Vibrio alginolyticus. Its description in RNAcentral is "bacterial SSU rRNA". It matches the Rfam family "Bacterial small subunit ribosomal RNA", at positions 53 to 408 of the family's 1533-position model. Lineage: Bacteria; Pseudomonadati; Pseudomonadota; Gammaproteobacteria; Vibrionales; Vibrionaceae. The record is from RNAcentral.
ACAUGCAGUCGAGCGGAACGAGUUAUCUGAACCUUCGGGGAACGAUAACGGCGKCGAGCGGCGGACGGGUGAGUAAUGCCUAGGAAAUUGCCCUGAUGUGGGGGAUAACCAUUGGAAACGAUGGCUAAUACCGCAUGAUGCCUACGGGCCAAAGAGGGGGACCUUCGGGCCUCUCGCGUCAGGAUAUGCCUAGGUGGGAUUAGCUAGUUGGUGAGGUAAGGGCUCACCAAGGCGACGAUCCCUAGCUGGUCUGAGAGGAUGAUCAGCCACACUGGAACUGAGACACGGUCCAGACUCCUACGGGAGGCAGCAGUGGGGAAUAUUGCACAWUGGGCGCAAGCCUGAUGCRGCCAUGCCGCGUGUAUGA